UUAAAGGCUCUUCUAAGAGCCACCCACUUUGUCCCUAGAAAAGGCU
Molecule: non-coding RNA, 46 nt
Organism: Erinaceus europaeus (western European hedgehog)
Lineage: Eukaryota; Metazoa; Chordata; Mammalia; Eulipotyphla; Erinaceidae
Source: Rfam